This 256-nucleotide long non-coding RNA is filed under the name Hordeum vulgare. RNAcentral's name for it is "long non-coding RNA (HVUL_LNC009021)". The record is from RNAcentral. Lineage: Eukaryota; Viridiplantae; Streptophyta; Magnoliopsida; Poales; Poaceae.
GAGCAUAAUUGAUUUAUUGAGUGUCAUCCUUUGUGUGGCGGUUGGGAUCUCGCCAUGGUUAACUCCUACCAACCCUUCCCCUAGGAGUAAGCGUUUAGCACUUUGUUUCGAUUACUAAUAAAACUUUCGCAAUAAGUAUAUGAGUUCUUCAUGACUAAUGUGAGUGCAUGGUAUAGAUGCACUCUCACCCUUCCACCAUUGCUAGCCUCUCUAGUGCCGCGCAACUUCCACCGGUGCACAAAACCACCAUAUACCU